CUAGUUUCACGAUAGGCGCCAUCACGACCGAGUCGGUGUUAGGGUCGUGACAGCCUUAUACGAACUGACUUCUGUUCAUUCAUGUGGAAGGCUAAAAAGCCUUAUUCCAAAUAGAGAAACAGAACAUUGUUUCUUUCACGCAACAAGCGCAAAGACUACGAAACAGAGGCAAUGACUCACGCAAUCAACGAAUUUUUUUUUAGUGUUCUUUACAAAUCACAAAUUUUUGAACUCAGGUUUAUAAAAUUCCUUAUUGUCAAUUACCCUAUAGUAGUUAUAGGUAAGAAUUGAAUAGUUAAUUCCCUUCUUCCUCUAUAUCAACAAUAAAUUUCAUGUUUAGGUGUGAAACUUUAAAUUUGAUUAAAAUGCACUGGUUGUUGUAGAAUCGAUUGUUUGACUGGUGUCCAAUUGGGGCAUACAUAUUGGCUCGAGAAGUUUUGAGGUGAGUUGAUAUAACCAUUUUUUAAAGUGGUUAACUCACAAAAGCACGCAUACAAGGUGUUCGAUAAAUUGCUUAAAAGAGCUUAUAUUUACUUAAUUGGAGCGAAUUAACUUAGAAUUGUUCUAGCAAAAGUUUAGAUGAUUUAUUAUGAUAUAUGUGCAUAAAUUUUCAGAUUUUUGUGUUUUCUUAUAUGCUAUUUCUAUGUUGAAAAUUUAUGAAGAAGCAAGAAUCUUUAGAAAUACUUUUAAAUGUUUAUUUCAUUUUUAUGUCAUGCUUUACAUUUAAGGAUAGUAGUAAGAGUAUGUAUUGUUGGAUGUUCCAGAAAAGAUUUAGACUUGAAAAGUCACAAGAAGAAGUUUUAGAAAGAAAAGAUUUUUGGGAGUAUCCUUUAUUCUGAAAAGGGGUCAUCGUUCAGGCCGAGGGUCCUGACCAAGACGUUGACUUCGUGAAACUACUUGUGCCAAAGUAGGGAGCACACGAGCCGAGGGUCUCGUUGCUGAGAAUUUACUUAGCUAAGCUAAGGUAUGAUACAUGAGCGCUGAGAACCAUGAAGCGAAUGACACCUCCUGGAUUGGGCCUAUUCGAUCAGGUUGGGAUCGAACCCAUGUCGAUCACAGAGUGACUAAGACAGAAACAAGUCAGGAUAGUUGGAACUCCCAAAGUAUAAAGUAAAGUAUUUUUUUAUAAGAAAGAAAAAGAAAAGAAUUUCUUUUAGAAUAUUCAUAAACUGCGAUUAUGCAAUUAUUUUAGAGUUGUUCUUAUAAGUUUUAUGCCUUAUAUGCAUUUAGAAUCUUUGCUCGUAAUGUAUAUGUUAUUAAAGUUUCAUCCCCUGUCGUUGAGACUCACUAAGUACAAUGGAUGGUACUGAUGUUCUCUUUUGGGAACCUACGUUGGUCUGCAGUACAAUGUAGGAACCAGUUUUGCAGGUGAGCAGGCUACAGCUUAGGACUUCCCUCCCUUCCAGUGCUAUUGGUGAGCUCCGCUUUUGUUCGUGAAAUAUUUCUUAGAGUCACUUUUAUUUAGUUAUUUUUUUGUUUACUUAGAGAACUGACCAGGAAAUCUCAUGUCCUGAGCAGUGCGUCAGUUUAUCAGUAGAGGCUUCAUAGACACAGUCGGUGGAUUAAGAUUCAGAUGUUUUCGAUAAUAACUUAGCGGUAUUUUAUUGGUUACUACGAAUAAAGUUUUGAAG
RNAcentral lists this long non-coding RNA (1631 nucleotides) under Nicotiana tabacum (common tobacco). Its description in RNAcentral is "long non-coding RNA (NTAB_LNC003395)". Lineage: Eukaryota; Viridiplantae; Streptophyta; Magnoliopsida; Solanales; Solanaceae. The record is from RNAcentral.